This 468-nucleotide ribosomal RNA is filed under the name uncultured bacterium. RNAcentral's name for it is "partial 16S ribosomal RNA". It matches the Rfam family "Bacterial small subunit ribosomal RNA", at positions 28 to 507 of the family's 1533-position model. The record is from RNAcentral.
GACGAACGCUGGCGGCGUGCUUAAUACAUGCAAGUCGAACGGAAAGGCCCUGCUUUUGUGGGGUGCUUGAGUGGCGAACGGGUGAGUAACACGUGAGUAACCUGCCUUUGACUUUGGGAUAACUUUAGGAAACUGGGGCUAAUACCGGAUAGGAGUUCCUGUUGCAUGGUGGGGGUUGGAAAGUUUCGGCGGCUGGGGUUGGACUCGCGGCUUAUCAGCUUGUUGGUGGGGUAGUGGCUUACCAAGGCCUUGACGGGUAGCCGGCCUGAGAGGGUGACCGGCCACAUUGGGACUGAGGUGCGGCCCGGACGCCUACGGGGGGCAGCAGUGGAGGAUAUUGCACGAUGGGCGGAGUCCUGAUGCAGCAACGCCGCGUGCGAAAUGACGGCCGUCGGAGUAGAAACCGCUUGCGCCUGUGACGAAGCGUGAGUGACGGUAAUGGAUAAAGAAGCACCGGCUAACUACGUG